AGCAGAGCAAUCUCAGAGAAUUCGGACAUCACACGAGCACACGCUGCAGAAGCAGAACCCAAUCGAGAGUCACCGCACGCUUUGCUCCGCCGUCUCCUCCUCCGCGGAGUAAUUCCGUCGUGCGCGCUCUCGCACCGCCCUCGUCCUUUGUCCGAUCGAAUGCCGUAACGCCGCGGAAGGGCGCGCGCGGCGAUGCUUGCCAUGGCUUCGCUCUGCCCCUUGUCCGCCGCGCCCACUGUCCCGCGCGCUCGCCGUGCCGCAAGCUUCAGGAGCCCCGCUCCCUGGACCGGCCUCGCCGCGACCGCGAGCAAUGCCAGUCCCUGCGGCUGUGGGCUUCUGCCCGCUGGAGGCUACGCGAGGCUGCGGUCGCGUUUGAGGAGCCCCGUGCGCGCCAAGAUCGACGAGGCCGGCAAGGACACGGGCGCCGGUCUGGGUUUCCCCCCGCCCCGCCGCCGGAAGCUGCGCCUGCGCCUGCGGCCGCGGCUGCGCCUCCUGUGGUGGCGGCUCCGGCGGCUGUCGCCGCGGGAGCUCGCGGCCGACGCCGGGGCAGCGCUGCGGCGCGCCGUCCGACGCGUGCCCCCCGCGGCCGCCGCGCCGGUCGUCCUGGCGCUGCUCCUCGCCGUCGCGCGGCUCGCGCUGCCCAAGAACGUGGCCCGGGAGGUGGCCUACUCGGACCUCGUCGCGGGGCUCCGCGAGGGCGCCGUGGCCGCCGUCGCGUUCGAGGAGGACUCGCGCCGUAUCUACUUCAGCAAGAAAGAUGGGGACGACGGCGGCUCCGACACGAGCGAGGCCGGUGAGAGCGCUGCUGUGGCGGCGCCGAAGUGGCCGUACUACGCGCGGAGGGUGUCGCACGAUGAGGGCUUCCUGCUCGGGCUAAUGCGGGAGGGCGGGGUGGACUACCGAUCGGCGCCGCGGCCUGCUGGGAGGCUGCUCGUCGACAUGCUGAGCACGCUGCUCACGCUCUGGGUCUCGCUGGUGCCCAUGAUGUGGUUCAUACAGCGGCAGAUGUCUGGUGGUGGCAGUGCUGACAAGCGACGCAAACCGAGGAAGCAGAUGGUGGGCUUUGACGAUGUUCAGGGUGUAGAUGAAGCGAAGGAGGAGCUUGUUGAGAUAGUGAGCUGUCUGCAUGGUUCACUAAACUACAAGAAGCUUGGAGCAAAAUUGCCCAGGGGUGUUCUGCUUGUUGGCCCUCCUGGAACUGGGAAGACUCUGUUAGCAAGGGCAGUUGCAGGAGAGGCUGGAAUUCCAUUUUUCUCUGUUUCUGCUAGUGAGUUUGUUGAAGUUUUCGUUGGACGAGGUGCAGCCCGAGUCAGGGAUUUGUUCAAGGAGGCCAAAGAAGCUGCCCCGUCAAUCAUUUUUAUUGAUGAACUUGAUGCUGUGGGUGGAAGUCGAGGUAGAAGUUUUAAUGAUGAGAGGGACCAAACUCUAAACCAGCUGCUUACUGAAAUGGAUGGUUUUGACUCGGACAUGAAAGUUAUUGUCAUGGCUGCUACUAACAGGCCAAAAGCACUGGAUGCUGCUCUUUGUCGACCUGGCCGCUUCUCCAGAAAGGUUGUUGUUGGUAGGCCUGAUGUGGAGGGCCGUAAAAAGAUUCUGGCUGUUCAUCUAAGGGAUAUUCCUUUGGAAGAGAAUCCCGAAAUAAUUAGUGAUCUGGUUGCUAGAGUAACUCCAGGAUUGGUCGGUGCAGAUCUAGCAAACAUUGUUAAUGAGGCUGCUCUAUUAGCUGCACGAAGAGGUCGGAAUACUGUGUCCCGGGAGGAUAUUAUGGAUGCAAUUGAGAGGGAGAAAUACGGGGUCAACGGGAGACAAGAAACUGAUGAUUCUGAAAGGCAAGGCCUCACCAAGUUAUUUCCAUGGUUACCUAAAUCUGGAAAUAAACCAUCAAGCCCUGAUGAUUUCCGAGGACUGAUGGGUUAUCAUACAUUAAGCUAACUUAGCAGCUCUUGCAAGUUGGAUGAACACUAUUCCCUCUUUAAAAGUACUCCCUCCAUUCCAAAUUAACUGAGAAAGAAUAUAAACUGAAACUAAAUCUGGGAAACUGUUUCCUGUAGUUUUAUGUAUAUCAGCAAAUAUACAUCUUGUAUGUACGAAGGAUGUUGCAAAUUGCAGUCAGUGGCUAUUGGUACUUUCAGAAGAAAGCUGUUACAAGCUACAUGAGGACAGUUUGUGAAUACAGAAUUCCAGGAUUUUUCCUAGGGCCUGUUUGGAUAUCAAGGGGGCUAAUCAGUUUCAUGCUUUGUAUUUUUGUUAGAAACAUCGCCAAGUUUCGUCACAUAGCCUACAGUGUUGAUAGAAUAGGCUAAAUAGCUAGCAAGCUAGUGGCGCUCCUGCUGCUGUACACAGAACAGUCAUUCAUCUGAUUCUUCCCAAGUCUGGAAGUUUUGCGAGUUGGAUGUGCAAGUUUACAAAUGCAAUGUCAAGUGCACAUGGGAACUGAAUUUGCAGCGAUGUGCAAGAAAUACACGGCAUCAUAUUUGACAGUUCACACUGAGCAACAAUUAAUUUCUUUCCUGUUAAUUUACACUAUCUCUAUCCUGUAUAUUCAUUGAAUUACUAUCAAGAACAAACUCCAACUCUAGCAGUUUGAGAUGUGAAAUCACUCAAUCUGUCAACAUGUAUGCACUCCCUCUGGUUAAAAAUAUAUGCACUGCCCAUGGUUGAAAGUACUUGUCA
Molecule: RNA transcript, 2673 nt
Organism: Sorghum bicolor (sorghum)
Lineage: Eukaryota; Viridiplantae; Streptophyta; Magnoliopsida; Poales; Poaceae
Gene name: probable inactive ATP-dependent zinc metalloprotease FTSHI 3, chloroplastic
Exons: 6
Source: RefSeq, a predicted model, not a curated record